GACGAACGCUGGCGGCGCGCUUAACACAUGCAAGUCGAGCGAUGAAAUCUUGACAGAUCCCUUCGGGGUGAAGAUAAGAUGGAUUAGCGGCGGACGGGUGAGUAACACGUGAGUAACCUGCCUUAGACAUUGGGAUAGCCUCGGGAAACCGGGAUUAAUACCAAAUGAAAUCAUAGGUGCCCAUGCACUAAUGAUCAAAACUCCGGUGGUCUAAGAUGGACUCGCGUCCCAUUAGCUAGUUGGUGAGGUAACGGCCCACCAAGGCGACGAUGGGUAGCCGGCCUGGGAGGGUGAACGGCCACAUUGGAACUGAGAAACGGUCCAAACUCCUACGGGAGGCAGCAGUGGGGAAUAUUGCACAAUGGAGGGAACUCUGAUGCAGCGACGCCGCGUGAACGAUGAAGGCUUUCGAGUCGUAAAGUUCUUUUAUAUGGGAAGAUAAUGACGGUACCAUAAGAAAAAGCCCCGGCUAACUACGUGCCAGCAGCCGCGGUAAUACGUAGGGGGCUAGCGUUGUCCGGAAUCACUGGGCGUAAAGGGUUCGCAGGCGGAAAUGCAAGUCAGAUGUCCCAGGCAGUAGCUUAACUACUGCUAAGCCAUUUGAAACUGCAUAUCUCUGACAAGAGUAGCAGGUACGUGGCAAUCUCCAGUGUAGCGGUGAACUGCGUCCCAUCUUACCCAACGAAUACCGGGUGGCCCAAGGCCGACUUCACCGGGC
RNAcentral lists this ribosomal RNA (718 nucleotides) under uncultured Clostridia bacterium. RNAcentral's name for it is "bacterial SSU rRNA". It matches the Rfam family "Bacterial small subunit ribosomal RNA", at positions 28 to 734 of the family's 1533-position model. Lineage: Bacteria; Bacillati; Bacillota; Clostridia. The record is from RNAcentral.